UUUGUUAUUGUCGGCAGGAGA
This is a non-coding RNA of Caenorhabditis elegans, 21 nucleotides long. The record is from Ensembl. NCBI's taxonomy places the organism in Eukaryota, Metazoa, Nematoda, Chromadorea, Rhabditida, Rhabditidae.